Molecule: ribosomal RNA, 703 nt
Filed under: uncultured beta proteobacterium
Lineage: Bacteria; Pseudomonadati; Pseudomonadota; Betaproteobacteria
Description: bacterial SSU rRNA
Rfam family: Bacterial small subunit ribosomal RNA
Source: RNAcentral
CAUGCAAGUCGAACGGUAACAGGUCUUCGGACGCUGACGAGUGGCGAACGGGUGAGUAAUACAUCGGAACGUGCCCAGUCGUGGGGGAUAACUACUCGAAAGAGUAGCUAAUACCGCAUACGAUCUGAGGAUGAAAGCGGGGGACCUUCGGGCCUCGCGCGAUUGGAGCGGCCGAUGGCAGAUUAGGUAGUUGGUGGGAUAGAGAGCUUACCAAGCCGACGAUCUGUAGCUGGUCUGAGAGGACGACCAGCCACACUGGGACUGAGACACGGCCCAGACUCCUACGGGAGGCAGCAGUGGGGAAUUUUGGACAAUGGGCGAAAGCCUGAUCCAGCAAUGCCGCGUGCAGGAUGAAGGCCUUCGGGUUGUAAACUGCUUUUGUACGGAACGAAAAAGCUUCUCCUAAUACGAGAGGCCCAUGACGGUACCGUAAGAAUAAGCACCGGCUAACUACGUGCCAGCAGCCGCGGUAAUACGUAGGGUGCGAGCGUUAAUCGGAAUUACUGGGCGUAAAGCGUGCGCAGGCGGUUAUGUAAGACGGAUGUGAAAUCCCCGGGCUCAACCUGGGAACUGCAUUUGUGACUGCAUGGCUAGAGUACGGUAGAGGGGGAUGGAAUUCCGCGUGUAGCAGUGAAAUGCGUAGAUAUGCGGAGGACACCGAUGGCGAAGGCAAUCACCUGGACCUGUACUGACGCUCAUGCAC